GUGUCAGCAGCCGCGGUAAUACAGAGGGUGCGAGCGUUAAUCGGAAUGACUGGGCGUAAAGGGCGCGUAGGCGGUUGGAUAAGUGAGGUGAUAAAGACAUGGGCUUAACCUAUGGGUGACGCCUUAGACUGUUCAACUAGAGACGAGGAGAGGGGAGUGGAAUUUCCGGAGGAGUGGUGAAAUACGUAGAUUUCGGAAGGAACACCGGAGGCGAAGGCGACUUUCUGGCCUUGUUCUGACGCUGAGGAGCGAAAGCGUGGGUAGCAAACAGGAUUAGAUACCCUGGUAGUCCACGCAGUAAACGAUGAAUACUAGACGUUAGUGGUAGAAAGACCAUUGGUGUCGAAGCAAACGCGAUAAGUAUUCCGCCUGGGGAGUACGGCCGCAAGGUUGAA
RNAcentral lists this ribosomal RNA (395 nucleotides) under uncultured bacterium. RNAcentral's name for it is "bacterial SSU rRNA". It matches the Rfam family "Bacterial small subunit ribosomal RNA", at positions 505 to 898 of the family's 1533-position model. The record is from RNAcentral.